GGGUCGUUAGCUCAGAUGGUAGAGCAGUUGACUCUUAAUCAAUUUGUCGUAGGUUCGAGUCCUACACGACCCACCA
RNAcentral lists this transfer RNA (76 nucleotides) under Sodalis endosymbiont of Henestaris halophilus. RNAcentral's name for it is "tRNA-Lys". It matches the Rfam family "tRNA". From Rfam's summary of the family: Transfer RNA (tRNA) molecules are approximately 80 nucleotides in length. Their secondary structure includes four short double-helical elements and three loops (D, anti-codon, and T loops). Lineage: Bacteria; Pseudomonadati; Pseudomonadota; Gammaproteobacteria; Enterobacterales; Bruguierivoracaceae. The record is from RNAcentral.